AGUGAACGCUGGCGGCAUGCUUUACACAUGCAAGUCGAACGGUAACAGGCCGCAAGGUUCUGACUAGUGGCGAACGGUUGAGUAAUGCAUCGGAACGUGCCCAGUCGUGGGGGAUAACUACUCGAAAGAGUAGCUAAUACCGCAUACGAUCUAUGGAUGAAAGCGGGGGACCGUAAGGCCUCGCGCGAUUGUAGCGGCCGAUGUCAGAUUAUGUAGUUGGUGGGGUAAAGGCUCACCAAGCCAACGAUCUGUAGCUGGUCUGAGAGGACAACCAGCCACACUGGGACUGAGACACGGCCCAGACUCCUACGGGAGGCAGCAGUGGGGAAUUUUGGACAAUGGGCGCAAGCCUGAUCCAGCAAUGCCGCGUGCAGGAAGAAGGCCUUCGGGUUGUAAACUGCUUUUGUACGGAACGAAACGGCUCUGGUUAAUACCCGGGGGUAAUGACGGUACCGUAAGAAUAAGCACCGGCUAACUACGUG
RNAcentral lists this ribosomal RNA (482 nucleotides) under uncultured bacterium. Its description in RNAcentral is "partial 16S ribosomal RNA". It matches the Rfam family "Bacterial small subunit ribosomal RNA", at positions 29 to 507 of the family's 1533-position model. The record is from RNAcentral.